RNAcentral lists this transfer RNA (67 nucleotides) under Macropsis hainanensis. RNAcentral describes it as "tRNA-Phe". The record is from RNAcentral. Lineage: Eukaryota; Metazoa; Arthropoda; Insecta; Hemiptera; Cicadellidae.
UAUCUUAAUAGCUUAUAUAAGAGCAUAAUAUUGAAGAUAUUAAGGAAUUUUUAUUUUUUAAGAUGAA